UGAACUGCAAUAAAUAAAUAAAUAAAUAAAUAAAGUUUUUAUUUCUCAGAAAAAUCUUGAUAGCUUCUCCAGGCAGCAUUUGAACAUGUCAGCUCUCAUCACACAGGCAGCAGGAGCACCAGCAGUCACACCACUCAAGACCAAAGGGUAAAAGCUGUGUUUUGAGAUACAUUCACGGACAAGGAACAAGCAAAUGGGCAACCUGCUAAAGGAACACGGUCAAUGCAACUGCAGAUUUCAGAGGGAUUGAGGCAAAGAGGCCACGCCAAGCUCUUCAAACAACAGAGCCCUCCACACCACCCUGCUCUGUCCAUUCCAUCCACCUCCUUUUGCUAUCAGCCACCAGAAGUGUGGGUCUGCAUGCACCAGCCAAGUGAGCACAGCUACAAACGCACCACAUCAACUGCAGUUCAACUUAAAGCUUGAAAAGAAAAUCAGAUUCAUGUCUCAUUCUUCCUAUCUGUGGAACAUUUUUUUUCAUUUUUCAUCCAGUAUAGCAAAAACUGUCAUUAAAGCAUAUAUACUGAGUGCAAAUUCUCUGCCAUUAACAUCCCAAAAGCAUAGCAAAAAGAAGUUAUUCUGAAUGCAAAGGAUGUGAUCUGCUAAAGAAAACAAAGACUUGAUUUAAAUAAUACAAGCUAGACUAAACUAAUAAAACAAGCUAAAUGAGAUUUGAUGUUCUAUUUCACCAAAUCAAUUACAGUAUUAUCUGACAAGAAAACAGAUUUCAUCCAUUUCCACAGCUUCCCUACGUGUCUUAUUAAAAAGAAAUUAAAAAAAAAAAAACAAGACACAAACAAGCUAGCAUUAAUUAAGUGCUUACUCACUGCUCAUCAUUAAUACCUCCCAAUUACUUAGAGGGAAAAAAAAGUAUGUGUGCAAGCUUCUGUAGAUGGGGAUGUGUUUUUUAUUUAAACAAGCUACAGGAGACAACGUGAGGCUGAUGCCAACAUAUGUGUUAAUGUUAUGUCUUAAUUCCAAACGUGUUGUCUCAGAUAAACACCUGCCUUGCUGUCAGGAGGGAGAUGGAGCACACAGAACACCCGGUUACAGUAAUUUUCAGAAAUAAUGAUAUAGCGAGUUGUCACCGUUAUUGUUGUAUGGUAAUAAAGGAAAGAAGAACAAUGCAACUACUUGAAAAAAGGACUAAGUAGUCCUUAACAUUACACUUUUUUGUACUGAUGUUGCAGGGACAAAAAAGAAAUCAUGGGCAUGAACUCAACUGCAGCUGAUCAUUUUAGUAAAUAGCUGACAUCAUACAUAUACACACAUAUCAGGCCAUCUGUGCAAAAAAGUCUUAAUUGAAAAUGGGGCUUAAAGAGUCUGAGGCCUGGUGGACCCUGGGCAGCAACCAAAGCACAUCACUGCCUCCGAGGCAGAACGCAGCGCUGAGCUCCUACAAAUUAAAUGCCUUUGGUAGGAACCCGCGCUGAAAUUUGGUAAAGCAUUUGGUAGGAGGAAGUGAGCAGAUUUGUCAGCGGAUGAAAGAACAGAAAGACGCUUAGAUAAUUAAGAAACAUUAACUAAAUGGAAUUCUUAAUAGAAGUGUAGCCUUUUUUGGAAAGUUCUAAAUGUUUACACUGAUUAUACAACAGCAGCAUUCACUUACUUGACUCUGGAGGAAGGUUUGUUUUUGGAUGGUUUCAAUGUUUGGUGCAGCAGCCUGCUGCUCUGCUGCAUCUGUAGCUAUUAGUGAGUUACUGCCUCUCAUUCCUUGCACUUGUACUCUUCAGAAGGAAUGGCAGCUCAUUCAGCUGAACAACUGAUUUUUUCCCAGAGGUCUGAAAAGCUGAGCUAGUUCCAGGAAUGGGUACCAAACAUGUUUGUUCCAACAGGCUUUGUCAUUGCAUUGUUGUCAAGAUGAGGCUUUGUGCUAGGGAUGACUUUUUGGGGGAGUCAGCCAUUAGGCUGAAAUAAUCUGCCAUUUUCAAAGAAAGAGUGCUCAGAGUAGGUGGGAAGC
Non-coding RNA from Meleagris gallopavo (turkey), 1960 nucleotides. Lineage: Eukaryota; Metazoa; Chordata; Aves; Galliformes; Phasianidae. The record is from RefSeq and is a predicted model, not a curated record.